CUAUAAUGCAGUCGAGCGGACAGAUGGGAGCUUGCUCCCUGAAGUCAGCGGCGGACGGGUGAGUAACACGUGGGCAACCUGCCUGUAAGACUGGGAUAACUCCGGGAAACCGGGGCUAAUACCGGAUAAUUCUUUCCCUCACAUGAGGGAAAGCUGAAAGAUGGUUUCGGCUAUCACUUACAGAUGGGCCCGCGGCGCAUUAGCUAGUUGGUGAGGUAACGGCUCACCAAGGCAACGAUGCGUAGCCGACCUGAGAGGGUGAUCGGCCACACUGGGACUGAGACACGGCCCAGACUCCUACGGGAGGCAGCAGUAGGGAAUCUUCCGCAAUGGACGAAAGUCUGACGGAGCAACGCCGCGUGAGUGAUGAAGGUUUUCGGAUCGUAAAACUCUGUUGUUAGGGAAGAACAAGUACCGGAGUAACUGCCGGUACCUUGACGGUACCUAACCAGAAAGCCACGGCUAACUACGUGCCAGCAGCCGCGGUAAUACGUAGGUGGCAAGCGUUGUCCGGAAUUAUUGGGCGUAAAGCGCGCGCAGGCGGUUCCUUAAGUCUGAUGUGAAAGCCCCCGGCUCAACCGGGGAGGGUCAUUGGAAACUGGGGAACUUGAGUGCAGAAGAGAAGAGUGGAAUUCCACGUGUAGCGGUGAAAUGCGUAGAGAUGUGGAGGAACACCAGUGGCGAAGGCGACUCUUUGGUCUGUAACUGACGCUGAGGCGCGAAAGCGUGGGGAGCAAACAGGAUUAGAUACCCUGGUAGUCCACGCCGUAAACGAUGAGUGCUAAGUGUUAGAGGGUUUCCGCCCUUUAGUGCUGCAGCAAACGCAUUA
Molecule: ribosomal RNA, 829 nt
Filed under: Bacillus sp. Y81_2
Lineage: Bacteria; Bacillati; Bacillota; Bacilli; Caryophanales; Bacillaceae
Description: bacterial SSU rRNA
Rfam family: Bacterial small subunit ribosomal RNA
Source: RNAcentral